Non-coding RNA from Macaca mulatta (Rhesus monkey), 2296 nucleotides. The record is from RefSeq and is a predicted model, not a curated record. Lineage: Eukaryota; Metazoa; Chordata; Mammalia; Primates; Cercopithecidae.
GAAAGUAGCAGAUCUGAGAUCUGAAUGUAGAUCUGAUUUCAAUCCCAAAGUCCUUUACUAAUGAUAGCCAAUAUCACGAGUCUUCUAAGAUUACAGAGCAUUUUCCAGUAAAUUUCUAAUUUGAUUCUGUCACUACUCAUAGGAGGCCAAAAUUAUGAUAAUUCCCAUUUUACAGAUAAAAGAACUGAGGCUUGGAGGAUUCAAGCAACUUGCCAAAGGUUCCUGUUGGCAAAUGGUAUAUCCAAAAAGAUCUGAGCUGAAGCCAAUUCCUGCAUUCCUUCUGCUACACCUUGGCAAGGACUGGAUCACUGAGUGUUGGCCCCUCAGCUGCUUCUAGCAAAGAGCUGGAUACUGACAGGCAGAAUUCUCACCUAACAGCCCCAGCGAACACCCUGGUGCCAAGCCAUGGAUGGCCCUGACUGGACUCUGCCCCAGACACCUGCCCAUGGAGGACAGAAGAGGAGGCUGUUCCAGGCCAAGUGACCAGCUGCUCUGGGGACUCGCAGCCCGGCACUGGGAGCUGACAGGGAGCAGGAGGGGCAGAGCGCUCUGCCUGGGCUCCAACAAACAGGCUUUCUAGUGAAUGGACCAAUUGGCAGUUGUGGGUUAUGUGGCCAGUUGUGGUUAGGGGAAGGGAGGAGCUCCUGGAGGAACACUGCAUUCCUGCUCCUGUCAGUGACUCCGAGAGAGUUCUGGACUAAGAGGGAGAAGUGCCUAGCAGCAGCCAAUGGAAAGGGCACUUGUCUUCUGGCUGGAGGACCCGGGACUGGGCUGGGCUGGGCCCCCGGCCCAGGGCUCACGGCAGCCACAGAAAUGAGUGAGUAUUGCUCGUUGUAUUUGGAGUCAUCCAUGACUUUCCUCCCUUCACACGGGGAAACCUUAGGAAGGUGUCCUCUCCCCACUUACUCUCCUGCUCUAGGCCUCCCCCAUCUCUGCCCAGCCUGGCCUCCACACAGGCAUCCAAGCAUCACCUUGGACUUCCCAGUUGGCACUGGGCAAACCAACAUAGAGAACCAAGACAAGGAGCAACCUUAAAUCACGUUUCUGAUUUCCUUCAAGUGACUUCUGAAGCCAAACCACUUUGGGCCUUUGGGGCACUGGAACAUUUCUUCAUUGUCAUACUCAUACCCCUUGAUGUGUGUGUCCCUGGCAGUCUGUGAAGAGGGAGGCCAUGUAAUUCAACAAAGUGUGGACAAGCACAGGCCAGGCAUGCAGCAGGCACUAAAAAUGUUUAUUGCACUAACAGAUGACUACAGAUGGUGUAGGUUCUCACUUCCUGUUUCUAGGUAAUUCUCUGCCUCAUUUACUCUGAAGUCACAUAGGGCCAGGAUAGGAAGUGAGCUUGCUGUGAUGCUUGGGCACCAGCUGACACAUCAUCCUUUUCAUGAUUCUCUUUUUCCGAUGAAGGUUGGAAACUUUCAUUCUAGAAGGGUCCUCAGCUGAGGGAUUGUGACUUUAGGGGGUAGGGAGGCCACUUGGGAAGCCAGAAUUCACUGUGGAUUAAUUGCUUAUCAAUUUCUGGGUUAGAUUUUUCAGUUCUGAGGGGUUCAUGAGAGCAACCUAAGAAUCGGUCCUGCUGAGGUCCAGGAGACAGUGCCGGGCCUGGUUGUGGCAGGAAGCUCCAGGAGAGGAAAGUGGACAGGCUGCUGAUACAGUCUUGCAUUGCAGCAGUGCUUGCCCUUUGUGGGUGGCACAAGUCCUGAAGCCAGCACGUAUUUCUGUGGCUCUGGGACAAGGGGGACAGACUUUCCCCCAGCCAUAGGAUGGCGUGGUCUCAACAAGUAUCAAUAGUUCCAAAGUACCAAAGAUUGGCUCUCAGUAGUUUGCCAAACACAAAGGCUUCACAGCAGCCCUAGGAAGCUGGCAGGUGGGAGCUGCUGUUCCCAUUUAAUUGACAAGGACAUUCUGUCCAAGAUCCUUCCCUGGUGGCUGCUUUACCAACCUUUAUGCUGCCCCUCAUCUUGAAAGUGGGAGAAGACAUGACUGAAAGGGCGGGCUGCAGUACAAAGGACAUAGGUGCAUGGCUGGGAGAUGGGACGCUCUGGCUCUGACGUCCUGCUCCCAAAUCUGGUCAGCCAGGAGUCCUACAUUCUGGCCCUUUCUGUAGCACUGGGACAAGAAAGCAGCAUUUUCUUGGCAGCCCCAGCUUCCAAGGUAGCUGCUGUCCACCCCCAGUUGACUUUCUAAAGAGCCACAGAGCCACUUAGGUGGAAGAAAGAAAGCUGGGAAGGAAGGAGAAAAGGAAGGGAGAAAGAAAGGAAGAGAGAAGGAAUAGAAAAAAGAAAGAAAAGAGAAA